AGGGAAAUAGCUCAGUGGUAGAGCGCAUGCUUAGCAUUCACAAAAGAGGUCCUGGGUUCAAUCCCCAGUACCUCCA
Molecule: transfer RNA, 76 nt
Filed under: Camelus bactrianus (Bactrian camel)
Lineage: Eukaryota; Metazoa; Chordata; Mammalia; Artiodactyla; Camelidae
Also listed under: 2 other names
Rfam family: tRNA
About the family: Transfer RNA (tRNA) molecules are approximately 80 nucleotides in length. Their secondary structure includes four short double-helical elements and three loops (D, anti-codon, and T loops).
Source: Rfam by way of RNAcentral